AAAAAUGUGUUACAGAACUGUUCUAAACCUCUGCUGAAAUUGGACUGGUGUAUUGGAUCAACUUUUGAGUCAUAUGAUCAACUCAUAUAGUGAAAUUGUGAUUGGAUAGUUUUUAGACUCUGCUGGCCAGUUGAACAUGUCAUUUUUGGUUAAAUAAACUUGCUCACAGUGCAAAAUUAUUGAUCCAAACACUUUGAAUCCUCUGCUGUAAUUUGAUUACUGAAUUGGUCAUGAUUUAGUGUGAUAAAGCAACUGAACUAGUCAAAUUUUGAUUCAAGCAUGAUUUGCCUAUAUUGACAGUCCAUACAUGUUAGAAUUGGCCAACCAAAGUUGCUUGAAACACUAAAUUAGAAUGUUAUGCACGUUUGUGAAAUUUGACCAUUUCAGUUACCAUCAUUCAGCAUUAUUUUUUUGAAUAAGUUGCAGCGUUUUUAUGACAGUAUUGCUGUGAAGUGUGCAUCCAUAUUGUAUGAUCAUUGGUA
Molecule: long non-coding RNA, 482 nt
Filed under: Vigna radiata
Lineage: Eukaryota; Viridiplantae; Streptophyta; Magnoliopsida; Fabales; Fabaceae
Description: long non-coding RNA (VRAD_LNC013592)
Source: RNAcentral